RNAcentral lists this long non-coding RNA (669 nucleotides) under Gallus gallus (chicken). RNAcentral describes it as "lncRNA (ENSGALG00010000500.1)". Lineage: Eukaryota; Metazoa; Chordata; Aves; Galliformes; Phasianidae. The record is from RNAcentral.
GAGAAGUUGACAGAAGGAGUCAGGCACACAGCUCCUCAGAGCUUUUGGAAAGUACGAGCACACAGGUUUCAGAAUGGUUGAAUGGAGUAUGACAGAUGUUGGUGUAUUUGGUGAACUCUCUCCCUGCUUGAGUUUAUUGACGCCACUGAAGGAAAGAGUUGAAAACUUACGAGCAGCCUUUGGUAGUAAUGGUGAAACUACCAGGAGAACGAACCGGUUCGUGGAGAUGUUGAACAACUCCGAGCAGCUCUCUAUUCGCGCACAUACAGAGCAGCUGAGACCCACAGAGCCAAAGUCAGAACCCGACUAACGUGGGUUUAAGGGGAAGAAGAGAGUUUUUCUUAUGGAAGCAGCUCGUCCCGCACUGCCCCCGUCCCAGCUCAGAGCAGCGGCGGUCCGGAUGCAGUGAUGCCCAGCGGCCGCCAGGGGGCGCUGUGACCCCACCGACUCCCGGACCGGCGCCGCGCGGAGCGCUCGUGGAGCCGCGAGCAAACCCAAGUUGGAAAUCCUUUUUGUCUUCAGAUGUUCCGAGCCACUAUUCCAGCAAAGGAAAUGAAAAAGGGAAACUAAACGAGCUUUCUUCUCCCCCCCCUCCUCCCCCCCCGACCUCUCUCUGGUUUCUAUUUGUAAUACUUUAUUUCUACAACAAGCACAAACCACUACAAAGAC